RNAcentral lists this ribosomal RNA (424 nucleotides) under uncultured bacterium. RNAcentral describes it as "bacterial SSU rRNA". It matches the Rfam family "Bacterial small subunit ribosomal RNA", at positions 355 to 776 of the family's 1533-position model. The record is from RNAcentral.
UAAGGAAUAUUGGUCAAUGGACGCAAGUCUGAACCAGCUAUGCCGCGUGAAGGAUUAAGGUCCUCUGGAUUGUAAACUUCUUUUAUCUGGGACGAAAAAAGGUCUUUCUAGAUCACUUGACGGUACCAGAUGAAUAAGCACCGGCUAACUCCGUGCCAGCAGCCGCGGUAAUACGGAGGGUGCAAGCGUUAUCCGGAUUCACUGGGUUUAAAGGGUGCGUAGGCGGUUCUUUAAGUCAGUGGUGAAAUACAGCCGCUUAACGGUUGAGGUGCCAUUGAUACUGAAGAACUUGAGUACAGUCGAGGUAGGCGGAAUUGACGGUGUAGCGGUGAAAUGCUUAGAUAUCGUCAAGAACACCGAUAGCGAAGGCAGCUUACUAGGCUGUAACUGACGCUGAGGCACGAAGGUGCGGGGAUCAAACAGG